This 446-nucleotide ribosomal RNA is filed under the name uncultured bacterium. Its description in RNAcentral is "partial 16S ribosomal RNA". It matches the Rfam family "Bacterial small subunit ribosomal RNA", at positions 29 to 523 of the family's 1533-position model. The record is from RNAcentral.
AGCGAACGCUGGCGGCAGGCUUAACACAUGCAAGUCGAACGCCCCGCAAGGGGAGUGGCAGACGGGUGAGUAACACGUGGGAACGUACCCUUUGGUUCGGAAUAACUUGGGGAAACUCAAGCUAAUACCGGAUAAGCCCUUAUGGGAAAGGUUUACUGCCGAAGGAUCGGCCCGCGUCUGAUUAGCUAGUUGGUGAGGUAAUGGCUCACCAAGGCGACGAUCAGUAGCUGGUCUGAGAGGAUGAUCAGCUACACUGGGACUGAGACACGGCCCAGACUCCUACGGGAGGCAGCAGUGGGGAAUAUUGGACAAUGGGGGCAACCCUGAUCCAGCCAUGCCGCGUGAGUGAUGAAGGCCUUAGGGUUGUAAAGCUCUUUUACCCGGGACGAUAAUGACUGUACCGGGAGAAUAAGCCCCGGCUAACUUCGUGCCAGCCGCCGCAGUAA